This 1154-nucleotide ribosomal RNA is filed under the name uncultured bacterium. RNAcentral's name for it is "bacterial SSU rRNA". It matches the Rfam family "Bacterial small subunit ribosomal RNA", at positions 246 to 1401 of the family's 1533-position model. The record is from RNAcentral.
UAGUAGGCGGGGUAACGGCCCACCUAGUUUACGAUGGAUAGGGGUUUUGAGAGGAAGGUCCCCCACAUUGGAACUGAGACACGGUCCAAACUCCUACGGGAGGCAGCAGUGAGGAAUAUUGGUCAAUGGGCGCGGGCCUGAACCAGCCAAGUAGCGUGAAGGAUGACUGCCCUACGGGUUGUAAACUUCUUUUAUAAAGGAAUAAAGUGAGGCACGUGUGCCUUUUUGUAUGUACUUUAUGAAUAAGGAUCGGCUAACUCCGUGCCAGCAGCCGCGGUAAUACGGAGGAUCCGAGCGUUAUCCGGAUUUAUUGGGUUUAAAGGGAGCGUAGAUGGGUUGUUAAGUCAGUUGUGAAAGUUUGCGGCUCAACCGUAAAAUUGCAAUUGAUACUGGCAGCCUUGAGUACAGUUGAGGUAGGCGGAAUUCGUGGUGUAGCGGUGAAAUGCUUAGAUAUCACGAAGAACUCCGAUUGCGAAGGCAGCUUACUAAACUGCCACUGACAUUGAUGCUCGAAAGUGUGGGUAUCAAACAGGAUUAGAUACCCUGGUAGUCCACACGGUAAACGAUGAAUACUCGCUGUUUGCGAUAUACUGCAAGCGGCCAAGCGAAAGCGUUAAGUAUUCCACCUGGGGAGUACGCCGGCAACGGUGAAACUCAAAGGAAUUGACGGGGGCCCGCACAAGCGGAGGAACAUGUGGUUUAAUUCGAUGAUACGCGAGGAACCUUACCCGGGCUUGAAUUGCACUCGGAUAUAGCGGAAACGUUAUAGCUAGCAAUAGCGAGUGUGAAGGUGCUGCAUGGUUGUCGUCAGCUCGUGCCGUGAGGUGUCGGCUUAAGUGCCAUAACGAGCGCAACCCUUGUCUAUAGUUACUAACAGGUCAUGCUGAGGACUCUAUGGAGACUGCCAUCGUAAGAUGUGAGGAAGGUGGGGAUGACGUCAAAUCAGCACGGCCCUUACGUCCGGGGCCACACACGUGUUACAAUGGGGGGUACAGAGGGCCGCUACCACGCAAGUGGAUGCCAAUCCCGAAAGCCUCUCUCAGUUCGGACUGGAGUCUGCAACCCGACUCCACGAAGCUGGAUUCGCUAGUAAUCGCGCAUCAGCCAUGGCGCGGUGAAUACGUUCCCGGGCCUUGCACUCACCGCCCGUCAAG